Molecule: long non-coding RNA, 1032 nt
Filed under: Sarcophilus harrisii (Tasmanian devil)
Lineage: Eukaryota; Metazoa; Chordata; Mammalia; Dasyuromorphia; Dasyuridae
Description: lncRNA (ENSSHAG00000030755.1)
Source: RNAcentral
AAAGACGUCAACCUGAAAAUGCUCUCUGUAGACCUCUUCGGCUUCCAGGAUUUUUUCUUUGGUCACUACUUUACCUUUUAAAUAUUUAAGGAGAAUGUACUGCAACCCGUAAAACACAGUUUCCUCAUUUUCCACCUUCCUGAAUUUGGAGUUUCCUGGUCGUUUCCCGCGGCAUUCAAAGUACGAAUAAACUUUGCUUGUGUUUGGUGGAUAUUGCUUGUAGUGAGUUGCCUUGUAGGAAUCGGUGGCGAGAAGGAUGUUGAACUCGGCUCCGACUUGGGAAUCCAUCUCGGCGCGUGGGCAGGGGAAUUGCUGAUCCAGCUGGGUGAAGAGAAGCACAGGCUGCUGAGAUUUAAAUGCUCACGGCUGAAGAGGGAGGGAGAAAUCUGGCCCUGCCCAGACCCCGCCUUCUCUGACGUCAGAGUCAGAGCACUCCACACUUGUCUAUCUCACCCCCACCCCCAAGACGUGUGAGGGCGGGGGAAGAGGCGAAUUGGGACCCACAAGGUAGGAUGGAGAGGUCAGGGGGACUUUUGCUGCUGGGUCUGAAGGCAAGUGAGAUCUGGGGCUGGUCUUGACCCGUGCUGGUUAGAUUUGGGAUUUGGCCAUCUUCAAUUAUUUUCUCUUUCAAAGAGUCCAUCUGAAGAUCAGGCUUUGAAUGACAAGAACCUUUCUAUUUGUAGCCCCAGUCUUUUCUCCUGACAAUCCACUGAUGUCACCUGGGAAAUCAAGUGUGCACAAUGCUGUUAUAUGAAGACUUUGGGGAGGCUAGAAGAACUGGGGCAGGAACCAAUUCAAGAUCCUCUGAACCUUCUUGGUGUUUUUUUUUUUUUUUUUUUUUUGUUUUGUUUUUUCCUUAUUGGAAUUCCAGUUUCAGUCUCCAUCCUUCUAUGAUUCCUGCAAUCCUGUGGCUGGUUGCGAUAGCUUGUUCGGGCCCGACCCAAUCUUUUCUCAAAUGCUCCAAGGCAGCUAGUUUCUUCAGAUCCUCUGACUAAAGGUCCUCCUAGUCCUGAACUGGCCUCUAGUGGCCAU